GAGCCAAGGUGUGAAAACGGGUGUGGGUCCCAGUCAGCCAAAGUUUCGGGUGAACCUAUUGUGAAGUCUAGCCCCACCCGAUCAUGUGAUUUACUGAGGUCAAAUGUCCCAGGAUGUGAGUGGGUGUUAAGGCGUCUGGGAAGGGAUCUCAAAACUGGAUUAUAGAUGGCAGACAGUUGGUGUCGUAAGCCACCGCCUCUGUUCAAAGAUGGUCGUUCACAGUGGGCAUGACAGCUCAUCUCAUGUAAAAGUAAGGACAAAUGAUUAAAAAAUACUCUCUCUGGGGAAUAAUUGCACUAACAAUACACAAGCAAAGCAUUAUUUGAAGAAAAAUUAACAAGUACUGUGUGAUACACUGGUUGUUGUGAGUAACACAUCAGAAUUCUUUAUUUCAUUCUCAUUAGAGCCUCUCCUGGGAUAAAAGAGAAAAUAUAUACAUACAAGGCAGAGGGUCAUUUAACACACAUCAUCAUCAUCAUCUUUAAAAAAAAGAAAAGAAAUAAAUACAUCAAUCAAUAAAUCACCCAUGUCCAAAUGCAGAUAUAAUUUAUUUACAAGAUUUUCAGAAGCUCAAAAGUAACUAGACAUUUGGCUAACAGGCUUUUUCAUGGCCAGGUGAGAUCUGUUCUCUAGUUAUUCUGUAGUGUUCAGUUCAAGAUUGAUGUGUUUUAUUUGACACUGGAUACAUAUGUAUGUCAAAUGAAACUAGUCGAAAGCAUGCAACCUCAAAGUUCAGUCCUAUUUUCUUUUAGCGUAAAAUAAUCAGCCAUGACUGCUUGAAAAGAAAAUGCCACAUACCUUUAGUUGAAUCUGGAACUGACUUUUAGCCUUGUUUGUAUAACACAAAAGCAGACUCUUAAAAUAAAACUGAAGUUUUGACCCCUGUAACAAAAACUUAACCACCAACUUCGUUCAGAGAACUGUGUGCUUACUCUAGCUUCUUUUGUUUUUCAGAGCCUGAGCUGCAAUCAGCACAGCAGGAGAUGGAGCAGCUCCGGCAGGAGGUAGAAAAGCUGAAGAAAUAUGGUCGUGUCGCUGCAAGAAGAAGCAGAGCAGCUGAAGGCAGCCUUACAGGAGGAGCUCCUAACUAAACAGACUCCAGCCAAACAAGUAACAGAGAUGACUGAAGUUGUGUCUCUAAAGAAGAAGGCAGAGCGACUGGAGUCAGCCCUACAAGAGCAGCAGCAGCAACUUCUCACUGUGCGAGUUCAGGCCAACCAUGCCAAUGAAUUAGCCAAAUCUCAAACAGCAGAGCUGGUACAGAGCAAUAAGACCUGCAGACGUUUGCAAGAAAAGCUCACUGCAGAGAUGAGAAGCCUUUUGGAAAAAGAGGAAACUCUAUUAUAUAUCGGCCACCUACAGGGAGGAGGUGGAGGAGGUGGAUCGUCUGGCUGAGUGGUGCGACACAAACAACCUGCUGCUUAACACCGAGAAGACUAAGGAGCUCAUCGUGGACUACAGGAG
Molecule: long non-coding RNA, 1464 nt
Organism: Oreochromis aureus
Lineage: Eukaryota; Metazoa; Chordata; Actinopteri; Cichliformes; Cichlidae
Source: Ensembl